AUACGUAGGUGGCGAGCGUUAUCCGGAAUCAUUGGGCGUAAAGAGGGAGCAGGCGGUGAUACAGGUCUGGAGGUGAAAGCCCGAAGCUAAACUUCGGGAUGCCCCGGAAACCGGGUCACUUGAGUGCGGAAGAGGAUCGUGGCAUUCCAUGUGUAGCGGUGAAAUGCGUAGAUAUAUGGAGGAACACCGGUGGCGAAGGCGACGGUCUGGGCCGCAACUGACGCUCAUUCCCGAAAGCGUGGGGAGCAAAUAGGAUUAGAUACCCUAGUAGUCCACGCCGUAAACGAUCGAUACUAAGUGUCGGGCUUCAAGGCCCGGUGCUGCAGCCAACACAUUAAGUAUCGCGCCUGAGUAGUACGUUCGCAAGAAUGAAACUCAAAUGAAUUGACGGGG
This 393-nucleotide ribosomal RNA is filed under the name uncultured bacterium. Its description in RNAcentral is "partial 16S ribosomal RNA". It matches the Rfam family "Bacterial small subunit ribosomal RNA", at positions 523 to 918 of the family's 1533-position model. The record is from RNAcentral.